AGGGAUAGCCUACUGGAUCGACCUCUUCAAGGACAAAGUUCAGGAAGGCUGUGUCAUUACAUCCAACCGUUUGCACAUUGAAUGCUUAAGGUUCUGUUUCACUGAUCUAAUUCAAGAGGAACUGAACCACAUUUCCAUUGACUUGAAUCAGCACAGGGUAAGAAGGAUGCGUAACGCUGAGAGUCCCCAUGGGAAGCCAGACAUCAUGUUCUUCAUGCCGGAAGUAUAUGGAACACAUGAUUAUAAAUUCCCGGCGUCGGUUGACGACAUCAGGGCAGCUGAACUGUUAACAACCACUCGACCCCUUGACAGAGGAUGCUCACCAGAGUUCAAUA
Molecule: long non-coding RNA, 335 nt
Organism: Haliotis rubra (blacklip abalone)
Lineage: Eukaryota; Metazoa; Mollusca; Gastropoda; Lepetellida; Haliotidae
Exons: 3
Source: RefSeq, a predicted model, not a curated record